GACGAACGCUGGCGGCGUGCUUAACACAUGCAAGUCGAACGGAAAGGCCCUGCUUUUGUGGGGUGCUCGAGUGGCGAACGGGUGAGUAACACGUGAGUAACCUGCCCUUGACUUUGGGAUAACGUCAGGAAACUGGGGCUAAUACCGGAUAGGAGCUCCUGCUGCAUGGUGGGGGUUGGAAAGUUUCGGCGGUGGGGGAUGGACUCGCGGCUUAUCAGCUUGUUGGUGGGGUAGUGGCUUACCAAGGCUUUGACGGGUAGCCGUCCUGAGAGGGUGACCGGCCACAUUGGGACUGAGAUACGGCCCAGACUCCUACGGGAGGCAGCAGUGGGGAAUAUUGCACAAUGGGCGGAAGCCUGAUGCAGCAACGCCGCGUGCGGGAUGACGGCCUUCGGGUUGUAAACCGCUUUCGCCUGUGACGAAGCGUGAGUGACGGUAAUGGGUAAAGAAGCACCGGCUAACUACGU
Molecule: ribosomal RNA, 467 nt
Filed under: uncultured bacterium
Lineage: Bacteria
Description: partial 16S ribosomal RNA
Rfam family: Bacterial small subunit ribosomal RNA
Source: RNAcentral